CAACUUUCAGCAACGGAUCUCUUGGCUCUCGCAUCGAUGAAGAACGCAGCGAAAUGCGAUAAGUAAUGUGAAUUGCAGAAUUCAGUGAAUCAUCGAAUCUUUGAACGCACCUUGCGCCCUUUGCCAUUCCGAAGGGCAUGCCUGUUUGAGUAUCAUG
This 157-nucleotide ribosomal RNA is filed under the name uncultured ectomycorrhiza (Basidiomycota). RNAcentral describes it as "5.8S ribosomal RNA". It matches the Rfam family "5.8S ribosomal RNA". Rfam says of the family: 5.8S ribosomal RNA (5.8S rRNA) is a component of the large subunit of the eukaryotic ribosome. The record is from RNAcentral. Lineage: Eukaryota; Fungi; Basidiomycota.